GACGAACGCUGGCGGCGUGCUUAACACAUGCAAGUCGAACGCUGAAGACCUGGCUUUUGUUGGGUUGGAUGAGUGGCGAACGGGUGAGUAACACGUGAGUAACCUGCCCUCUUCUUUGGGAUAACGCCCGGAAACGGGUGCUAAUACUGGAUAUUCACUGAUCUUCGCAUGGGGGUUGGUGGAAAGGUUUGUUCUGGUGGGGGAUGGGCUCGCGGCCUAUCAGCUUGUUGGUGGGGUGAUGGCCUACCAAGGCUUUGACGGGUAGCCGGCCUGAUAGGGUGACCGGUCACAUUGGGACUGCGAUACGGCCCAGACGCGUACGGGAGGCGGCAGUGGGGAAUAUUGCACAAUGGGCGAAAGCCUGAUGCAGCGACGCCGCGUGAGGGAUGGAGGCCUUCGGGUUGUAAACCUCUUGCGCUCAGGGGCAGGCCGCAACUGUGGGUUGUAGUGAGGGUAGUGGGUAAAGAAGCGCCGGCUAACUACGUG
RNAcentral lists this ribosomal RNA (486 nucleotides) under uncultured bacterium. RNAcentral's name for it is "partial 16S ribosomal RNA". It matches the Rfam family "Bacterial small subunit ribosomal RNA", at positions 28 to 507 of the family's 1533-position model. The record is from RNAcentral.